Molecule: ribosomal RNA, 258 nt
Filed under: uncultured Glomus
Lineage: Eukaryota; Fungi; Glomeromycota; Glomeromycetes; Glomerales; Glomeraceae
Description: partial 18S ribosomal RNA
Rfam family: Eukaryotic small subunit ribosomal RNA
Source: RNAcentral
AAGCUCGUAGUUGAAUUUCGGGGUUAGUAGGUUGGUCAUGCCUCUGGUAUGUACUGGUCUCACUGAUUCCUCCUUCCUUAUGAACCGUAAUGCCAUUAAUUUGGUGUUGCGGGGAAUUUGGACUGUUACUUUGAAAGAAAUUAGAGUGUUUAAAGCAAGCUAACGCUUGAAUACAUUAGCAUGGAAUAAUGAAAUAGGACGUUCGAUCUUAUUUUGUUGGUUUCUGAAUCACCGUAAUGAUUAAUAGGGAUAGUUGGA